UACAGAGGUUGCAAACGUUGUUCGGAAUCACUGGGCAUAAAGCGCACGUAGGCGGUCUGUUAAGUCAGGUGUGAAAGCCCCCGGCUCAACCGGGGAAUUGCAUUUGAUACUGGCAGGCUCGAGAACGGUAGGGGUGAGUGGAACUCCAGGUGGAGCGGUGAAAUGCGUAGAUAUCUGGAGGAACACCGGUGGCGAAAGCGGCUCACUGGACCGUCACUGACGCUGAGGUGCGAAAGCUAGGGUAGCAAACGGG
RNAcentral lists this ribosomal RNA (253 nucleotides) under uncultured bacterium. RNAcentral's name for it is "partial 16S ribosomal RNA". It matches the Rfam family "Bacterial small subunit ribosomal RNA", at positions 524 to 776 of the family's 1533-position model. The record is from RNAcentral.